CAUUUGAUGAAAUCUCAUCUUACUGUAAGUACACCUGUCUCAGCCCUAGAGUUAGUCCACUAUUUUAGGGUGGAAAUGACAAGCCUAACAAAAUCAUAUGUUCAAAACAAACACAGCUGUUAUUUUUUUUCUCUCAUCUCUACUUUGGGAAGCAGGAGAGCCCAAUGUGGAGCUGUCUGAAGGGAAGACGCUUUGCCAAGUUCAAACCAGAGAGUAUCCUCAACAGUGCUACCUAUAACCCAGUCAGCAGCUUCACACUACACCUAUCAUUCUCUUUGCUGUCCUCAACAUCAGCAGCUCUAGAGAAUUCCUAGCCAAGAUGGUGAAAUGAGCUUGAGCUGGAGAAAUGAGGUCCAAUAUAAAUGGAAACAGUUGAAGUUAAUCAGUGUACUGAAGAUUGCCAUAGUCAAGUUCCUUAACUUCUUCUUCAUUAUCUUCAGAGAAUCAAGAUACUGUAUGUUACAACUGCAUUCAUGCACCACAUUAAGCAUGAUUUGUGUAAUAUCAUAUAUUGAAUAAAGCAUAGUUAUGUUUUCAGUGA
Long non-coding RNA from Pantherophis guttatus, 541 nucleotides. RefSeq lists it as uncharacterized. The record is from RefSeq and is a predicted model, not a curated record. NCBI's taxonomy places the organism in Eukaryota, Metazoa, Chordata, Lepidosauria, Squamata, Colubridae.